UUUAGUCCCUCCUUCCCCGCGAGGAUUUCAAAUGAUGCAGAAAGAGAAGAACUGUUAAACAGCUGGAUUUCAGCAUAGUAAAUGGCAUUUAUUCAUACUUUUUGAAGGGGUAACUGUGAUUGGUUUAUUAGGGGUUUAUGUUGCCUCUUUAUCAGAUUUUAGUUUGGAAGCCAGAGUUCCCCUUUAACAAGUAAAAUGAUCUUCUACACUUAGAUGUUUAUGGUUCCCUUCUCUAUAAGGAAGCCGUAAUAUUGUAAAAUAACAUGUUCUACUGAAUAUGGUUGAGAAAGCAUUGGUUAUGCCAGAGGCAGGCUGCUGUGGAUUGUAUUCCUAUGGGAACCAAAGAGGAACCUGAAGUUUGGAAUAAUCUAGUUAUUGAUACUGUAACCCCUUGUUUUACUUGCGGUUUGGAGGGGUUAAUGUUGCAGGACACUAGCAUGUGUGUUUUUAUGAAUGUGCGAGUCAAGAUGGCACCCUUCAACUUUGAGUUUAUGCUGUAAACAUGCCAAACAUUAAAAUCCUAAUAAAUGCCUCUAUCCUUAGUCAAAACACUCCAUUAAAGUUAAAAUUUCAUUUGUGUAAAGGUACCAGAAGCCAACGCAGUGAAGAAGUCAAGAACGCGAGACCUCAGCUGAUGAAGGCAGUGUGCUUGUUUUGUUAACACUCAUUUUUCCCUUUUUUUCCUGGAUGUCUCCGCUGUGUGACGGUCCAGCUGCUUGUCUCAGGGGACAGUGUUGGAAUGAUCAGAUAGCGAUGAUUUGGGGGUAAAAAGUUAAUAUUUAUGUAUUAUAAACAACUAAAUUAUUUGCCUAAUUUAAAGAAACACUGAUCGUUCACUAUUUUUAACUGGAUAACGCCUCGGCAGAUCCCCAGUCUGUCUCGUCUGUCUGCGUUUCGGUUCCAAUACAUUCAGACAGAGUGACAUUUGGACAGAUGAAAUGCCGUUUACUACAAACUCUCUGCAUGCUGUAAAUGUAUUUGUGUUUAAAAUAAAAAUGUCAAAAUCAA
This is a long non-coding RNA of Xenopus laevis (African clawed frog), 1008 nucleotides long. RefSeq lists it as uncharacterized. The record is from RefSeq and is a predicted model, not a curated record. The transcript is spliced from 2 exons. NCBI's taxonomy places the organism in Eukaryota, Metazoa, Chordata, Amphibia, Anura, Pipidae.